UACGAAGGGGGCUAGCGUUGCUCGGAAUCACUGGGCGUAAAGCGCACGUAGGCGGAUUGUUAAGUCAGGGGUGAAAUCCUGGAGCUCAACUCCAGAACUGCCUUUGAUACUGGCGAUCUUGAGUCCGGGAGAGGUGAGUGGAACUGCGAGUGUAGAGGUGAAAUUCGUAGAUAUUCGCAAGAACACCAGUGGCGAAGGCGGCUCACUGGCACGGUACUGACGCUGAGGUGCGAAAGCGUGGGGAGCAAACAGG
Molecule: ribosomal RNA, 253 nt
Filed under: uncultured bacterium
Lineage: Bacteria
Description: partial 16S ribosomal RNA
Rfam family: Bacterial small subunit ribosomal RNA
Source: RNAcentral